UGCACUCAAAGAUCCUGGUGUGCAAGCAGAAGGCUCUUCUGACUGUGCGUUUAUGGCUAAUUAUUUAUCUGCUCCACACACAACAAUGUGCAGCCCCUCCGCCCUUCUAAAGAUGGUUGCUGCAGGCCAUGGGUUAUUUGAGGGUUGUUCCCCUCAAACAAGCCACCCCACCCAGGUUCGGGCAAGACAACAAAUCAUGAUUGGAUACACAAGGAGGAAAUAUUGGUUGAAGGGAGGGACAAGACUCUUACCAAGAGCUGGAAGGCCACAUCAGUGAUUCAUUGGAGAAAAACUUCUGGAGUUCCUUCCCUUUGUCUGUAGCAGCAGUCAUAACUCAUACGUACCUUUCCUUUGGCAAGCAGCAAAUACAAGC
Elgaria multicarinata webbii is the source of this 373-nucleotide long non-coding RNA. RefSeq lists it as uncharacterized. Lineage: Eukaryota; Metazoa; Chordata; Lepidosauria; Squamata; Anguidae. The record is from RefSeq and is a predicted model, not a curated record. The transcript is spliced from 3 exons.